UGCUAGGACAGAAAUGAAAUUGCAGUGU
Molecule: non-coding RNA, 28 nt
Filed under: Mus musculus (house mouse)
Lineage: Eukaryota; Metazoa; Chordata; Mammalia; Rodentia; Muridae
Source: RNAcentral